UGAUCGAUGGUGUAACGGUAGCACUGCAGUUUUUGGUGCUGUAUGUCAAGGUUCGAAUCCUUGUCGGUCAA
RNAcentral lists this transfer RNA (71 nucleotides) under Saprospiraceae bacterium. Its description in RNAcentral is "tRNA-Gln". It matches the Rfam family "tRNA". From Rfam's summary of the family: Transfer RNA (tRNA) molecules are approximately 80 nucleotides in length. Their secondary structure includes four short double-helical elements and three loops (D, anti-codon, and T loops). Further hydrogen bonds mediate the characteristic L-shaped molecular structure. tRNAs have two regions of fundamental functional importance: the anti-codon, which is responsible for specific mRNA codon recognition, and the 3' end, to which the tRNAs corresponding amino acid is attached (by aminoacyl-tRNA synthetases). tRNAs cope with the degeneracy of the genetic code in two manners: having more than one tRNA (with a specific anti-codon) for a particular amino acid; and 'wobble' base-pairing, i.e. permitting non-standard base-pairing at the 3rd anti-codon position. The record is from RNAcentral. Lineage: Bacteria; Pseudomonadati; Bacteroidota; Saprospiria; Saprospirales; Saprospiraceae. RNAcentral also lists the same sequence under 1 other name.